RNAcentral lists this ribosomal RNA (786 nucleotides) under Stephanopyxis turris. RNAcentral's name for it is "partial Bacterial large subunit ribosomal RNA". It matches the Rfam family "Bacterial large subunit ribosomal RNA", at positions 1131 to 1876 of the family's 2925-position model. The record is from RNAcentral. Lineage: Eukaryota; Bacillariophyta; Melosirophyceae; Stephanopyxales; Stephanopyxidaceae.
AGCGUAAUAGCUCACUGGUCGAGCGAGCCCGCGCCGAAAAUAUAACGGGGCUCAAGUACGGUGCCGAAGCUUCGGGUUCAGUUCUACUAGUUAGAGCGGAGCGGUAGCGGAGCAUUCUCAGGCAGAUACAAGGUCUACCGUAAGGAGGGCUGUUGGGUCUGAGAAGAGCUUAUGCAGGCAUGAGUAGCGAUAAACAGGAUGAGAAAUCCUGUCGCCGUAAGCCCAAGGUUUCCUGGGGAAGGAUCAUCCUCCCAUGGGUUAGUCGGUCCCUAAGCCGAGGCCGAAAGGCGUAGGCGAUGGAAAGCUGGUUAAUAUUCCAGCACCAUUGAGGACAGCGUUGAAGCGAGCAGGGACGAAGAAGGGUAUGCCGAGCCAGGCGUUUGGUCGUCCUGGUUCAAGCAAGUAGGCGGAUUUCGUAGGAGUCGAUAGACACAAACGCGAGAUCAACGCCGAGAUGUGAUGAGGCCAGCCUUCGGGCUGGAAACUCGGUGAUCCCAUGCUUCCGAGAAAAGCUGCGCGCAGAGCUCCCUCAGUGACCGUACCGCAAACCAACUCAGGUGGGCGGGGUGAGUAUCCCAAGGCGCGUGAGAGAACACUGGCUAAGGAACUCGGCAAAAUAGCACCGUAACUUCGGGAGAAGGUGUGCCUGGCGGAGUGACGGACCUCGCGUCCCGAGCUCUGUUGGGUCGCAGUGAAUAGGGGGUUGCGACUGUUUACUAAAAACAUAGGACUCUGCGAAAUCGUAAGAUGACGUAUAGGGUCUGACGCCUGCCCGGUGCCGGAAGG